Molecule: long non-coding RNA, 214 nt
Filed under: Elaeis guineensis (African oil palm)
Lineage: Eukaryota; Viridiplantae; Streptophyta; Magnoliopsida; Arecales; Arecaceae
Description: long non-coding RNA (EGUI_LNC055066)
Source: RNAcentral
CCUGCGAAGCUCGCCUUCCAUCUUCUUCAAUCUUUUUGUCAAAUGAAGAACUUUCUUCUUCAGCCGCUGGAUCGUGGACUUCAGCGGAAUCCCCUAUGGUAGGAGAAGCACUUCGGUAGGACAUUGCCAUCGGGAGACAAAAGCGUCAAGGCGCGUCUCAUUGCAGAAAGAAAACAAAAAAGGAGGAGGAAGGAGGAGAGGAGAAGCCAUCCAC